AGAGACAGCAGCAGCCGCGGGAAUACGUAGGUGGCGAGCGUUGUCCGCAAUCAUUGGGCGUAAAGGGAGCGCAGGCGGGCCGGUAAGUCUUACUUAAAAGUGCGGGGCUCAACCCCGUGAUGGGAGAGAAACUAUCGGUCUUGAGUACAGGAGAGGAAAGCGGAAUUCCCAGUGUAGCGGUGAAAUGCGUAGAUAUUGGGAGGAACACCGGUGGCGAAGGCGGCUUACUGGACGACAACUGACGUUGAGGCUCGAAGGCGUGGGUAGCAAACAGGAUUAGAUACCCCCGUAGUCCCUGUCUCUUAUCAC
RNAcentral lists this ribosomal RNA (309 nucleotides) under uncultured bacterium. Its description in RNAcentral is "partial 16S ribosomal RNA". It matches the Rfam family "Bacterial small subunit ribosomal RNA", at positions 504 to 810 of the family's 1533-position model. The record is from RNAcentral.